This is a non-coding RNA of Paramuricea clavata, 6416 nucleotides long. NCBI's taxonomy places the organism in Eukaryota, Metazoa, Cnidaria, Anthozoa, Malacalcyonacea, Plexauridae. The record is from the annotation of a GenBank genome assembly.
CAGGAAGAGUCUUUCAAAAUACAGCAGAAUUGUUAAUACUAAGAAAAAUCGAGGCUUAAAGCAUUGGUACCAAAUAUCAUCUUAAUUCCUUUCCACCAAUUUUGGAUUUCACAACAAAGGUUAGUCUAAAUAUACAUGGUUAACAUGCGAAUUAUAUAAAUACCUUUCUAGUGCUCUGCUAUAUAUACUCCAUUAAAUGAGGGAAAUAUUUAGUCUGUAACAGCGAAUCCGGUUAAGAUUUAUAGUCUAUAUAUAAUUGGAACUUGAUCGAAAUGGUGUAUAGGCCUAUAGCUAUCAUUGCAGCUUUUAGACACUGAUUUAUUGUAAAUGUUAACACCGUUUUGGUAUAGUGAACACCCGAUAUAACAGGCCAUAUAUAGGCUAACACGUACUGGGUGUAAAUAGCAUGAUUCAGUCAAUAUGUUUGGUGUUCACUAAUACACAAAUGGUAUUAAAAUUUCGAGUGCAGUUGAAAUAUAUAGCUAAUAUAGGAAUUCAAUAAUUAGUUUUUGUAUACUGCUUCGCUCGACACUAUUGUCUUAUUGAGGGGGCGAAAGAUUUAGGGCUAGAUCAUGCACGAUUUGAAACAGCAUUACACAACUUACAGUACCAAUACUUUCAAUACUCUGUAAUUCGUAAAAAUGUAUAGAUUGGACAGUUCCUUUCAUAAUGGCCGCGGAAGCAUUUCGAAAGUGGAGGGGCAUUAAUUGGCCAAAAAGGCAAUUUUGUAUAUGACCAAAAUCAAACAAUUUUAUGUCGUUUACAAGCCGAACGAAAAUUUGUGAAAAUAUAUAGAGUCUCUAUAUGUAACGUCGUAAAUGGCUUUUACAGAGUUUUACUACUGAAAAAAAGGGCAUUUUCUUUCCAGCAAAAGAGGGCUUCUGUUGAAGUUUAAAUUUAAAUUCUGUUGGAGUUUAAAUAUUUAAAUUAAUUGAAGGUAUAUAAUCGUGUAUAGGCUAUAUAGAUCAGUUAUAGGAUUUAACUUGCUGCCUAUAUAUACAGUAUAGACUGCUCGGCUGCAAGGACUUGUUUCAGAAAUACAUUUUAAUAUUGAAAUCGAUGUAGUAUUCAGUGGAUGUCGAAGAACAAAACAAUGGUCCAAGUGGGAAUUUGAAAAAGGCAUGCAAACAUGUUUCGCGUGGUAAUAAAUUUGUCAAAUAUUUGCAAGUAAUUUUUCUACAGUGUUUACGAGAUCCGGCUGUUGAUCGGGCUAAUUGUCUGUUAAUGUUGGCUUAUGUGUGCAACUAUAUAUAUUAUAUAAUACCUUAUUGGAUUCUGAUCGUUUAAUUGGCUGUUUAUGGUCACGUGAUAUUGAAUAUAGAAAAUUCCAUUUCCCAAGAGUGCAAUGGAAUACGUUCCACUGCACUCUUCGCGAGUGCAAUUGUACUAUACGUUUUAUUCCAUUGCACUCUUUAUGUUUUCGAUGAACUCACAUCCGUCAAAAUGCUUCUCAUAUACGAAUCUAUUAGUCUAUUUUGGUAUUAGGCUAUAUAAAACAAAUAAUUAAUUAAUGAAUGUUUCUUCGUGCAAUGGUAAGAAUAUUUUCAUUGGGUGAAAGAUGAAAUGUUAUUCAUUAUUUGUAUAUUACAUAGCAGAAACGAACUAUCAGGAAAAAAUUAAUAUCAUGCAGCCAUUGUUUGUUCCGACAUGCAGACAUGCAGACAUGUCGUUUGAAGAUAGCGCUAUUCUAUAGCUGCUUUAUAUAGCUGUUUUAAUUAUGCAAAAGCAGAUGACUUUUAACCUAAAUUGGGCCAAACAAUUUUAAUUAAUUGUCGAUUAUAAUAUUGUAUAAACUAUUUGAAUUUUCUUUACCGAAUCAUGCAGCAAUCAUAAAAAAAUCAUGUGAAAUUUCGUUGCAUAAUAAACCACUUUAUUUACACACGAGUAUGUGAACUGUUGCGGAAUUUUUGAGGUAAGCAAAAUUAUAUAUAUAUAUAUAUAUAUAUAUAUAUAUAUAUAUAUAUAUAUAUAUAUAUAUAUAUAUAUAUAUAUAUAUAUAUAUAUAUAUAUAUAUAUACGCUCCUUCAUUUCGGUGUUGUAGAGUUAAUUGUGGAGUUAAUUGGGUGUCCAUUAGCAAUAAUGCAAAGCUCACUUCUCUCGUGGUUGUUUGAGCACUCUGCCCCCAUGUCACUCUGCGCAUGUCUGGAUGCGUUGAUAGCCCGUGUUGUACCACAUGAGCUUGGGAGAGCAAGUGUCAUGUAUAUCAAUAAGAAGGUCAUCGCCCGAGCUGCACUGAUGAGGCGUACGUAGGACGCCGAAACAUAUAUAUAUAUAUAUAUAUAUAUAUAUAUAUAUACGUUUAUUAGACAUACCAUAUAUACGUGAAUACUUAGUUUACUGUAAAAUUAAAGUUAAACUAAUUAUAAUCUUUUAAUCAAGUUAUAAGUUGUUGAAAUCAAGACAUGUGCAAAUUUCAAGGUUAUUUCGACUCCAUUUCAUAGUUAUUGGGAACUGACUAGUCUUGAGGCCUGUUUUCAGGGACGCCGAGAGAAUUCGCGGGGCCCGGACCCAUAACAUCAUAUUUUUAAGCUAGACCCAACUAGUAGACCUUAAUUCGACUGCAGGUGGAGGCACUGUAAGGAUCCCUCAAUUUCAAAAAUUAUCUGACCAAUUUAAAGAACCUACUCAAUUUUAGGCUCUCACUCUCAAGUUGGGGGCUCUAUUAAGGUGGGGGCCCGGGGCAAUUUGCCCCCCCCUCGCUAGGCGUACUUGCCUCGGUGUCAUGACUUUUGUCUUAUGAUGCGAGAAACAGCCAACAUACUCGACAGGAUUAUAUUUCAGAAUUACAUGUUGGGCUUUUUGUUAUUUUGCAAAUCUCAAAAAAAUAAACUCACCUGUUAAUCUGCACGUUUCUGAACCAACUAAAUCUUUAUCUCCCACAAACAAGAAAGCUGCUUCGUUAACAAGACUUUCGCGUGGAAAUUCAAAAUUCAUUUGUGUUCCCCAUGACUAGUCGAAGGAAGCUCGUAAUUCAGGCGCAGAUGUGUUUAAGGGUUUUAAAAUUAGCCACGCUUAAUAAAUUAAUAAGUUAAUUUUGGCAAUUUCAGUCGCUAAUUUUCUCCGGCAUAAGAAUUGAACAUUAAUGCGUAUUGAAAUAAAAUCUGAGCUAAACGAACCCAUCCUACAGGUCAAGUUUUAAGUUCUACAUGUGGUCAAGGGGCUUCAUGCAUGCACCAAUCGCAAGUUUUCCCGAGAAAGGCCAGUUUAGAUUUUAUAACAAAUUUCGAGUUUCCAUUUUGCAAUGUAUAAUCAAUUAUGAAUCGCCAAAGUUAGAUUAAAUGAAAGAGUAUUCCUGCAUGCGGUCUAUAGCUAUCUUCGUAAUCCAGGCUCUGUAGGUCAUGCAGGUCGUAACUCGAACAGUCUCUGCUGGUGCCUGGUCACGUGGUACUUCGGGAGAGGUGACAAAGACCUUUAUGUGGCUUAAUAAAAGUCGACGUGUCGUGCAAGUCAUCCAUGCAUGACGUCAACUCUUCAUGUUGCAUGGUUGCAUUGUCUUAUUGAUGAAAUUUACCGGAAUAUCCGAAAUAUACAAAACAUGGAAGUAUAUAUAAAUUUAAAAAGGACUUACUAUACAGUUUUAAGAUUACCAGAUGUAAUAAAGAGUUUCGUGACUUGCACUUUUAUAAUUAUGCCCCUGCAGGAACAACUUGAACAAUUAUAGUCAGAAUCCCGCUGCGAUUUAAAUAUUUUUAAAAGAUAAUGAUAUAUUGUACACUGAAAUAUUCCUACCAAACCAGAGUACACUAUAUUAUAUAGUCGUGGGAAAUUGCGCAUAGAAAUUAGUUGAUUACUCUGCCCUCUGGAGAAAAAUGCAAUUUCCAAAUUCAAAUCCACGAAUAAAAAACAAAUGGAGUUUAAUUUGACCGUAACUUUUUUGUUAACGUCAAAAAUUUAAGCACCGAUUCCACAGAAAACACGAAUCAUUGAUGUAGCGGUUUUGAAUUAAGUAAAAUUUUAUAUUCUAACCCAUAUAACCAAAUGAUGUAGUAAGCUGACAAAAUAUCGAUACUGCACACUGCAUGUUGACUAAUAUUUAUUUAAAUCUCUCUCGUGAAAAUUGCGGUUUCCAGUUAAUGUAACAUUUUGCAAAGUUGACUGUCUUUAUUGAGGAAUGCCUGGAUCACCGGAGCGCAAAGCCUCGACGUCGAAGUGCAAAAGGCACAAUGAAUGUGCGCUUAUCCCUUUCCUUUAAAUGUUGAUCCUAUCAUUUUGUGAGCUAUAUAUAGUUGCAUUCAUUAUAUGCAUGUAUGUUUGGCGACUUGUAACGCCUGUAAAUCACAGUUACACUUUAGCUUUCUGAGCCUUUUGAGACCCGAUGGCGAUGACCAACAUUUCUUAAGUAUAUGUUUGUGAUGUUGUCUGUGAGUGUGUCCGCACCAGGCAAGCAAGGACAUGCUGGCUAGGGACUAGCCGACAAGAACUUGUUGUGGACCCCUGCCAUCUUGGGCCCCUAAAAUUAAAACAUUGGAAAAGAUAAAAAAUAUAGAUUUUAAUUUUGAAAAUCAAGAUUCAGAUAUUACAAUUUCUACUAUAAAAAUCUAAAUUUACGAAAAUAUUACCGAAGUAUUUAACAAAUUACCGAUGUUCCCCCCCCCCCUCCCCUACAAGUUUGGGAAAAAUAAGAUUAUUAGCGAUUGAAAUGUUUCAUGUUUGAUCAUGCAGUAAUACCCCCACCCAAUUCUUGAUCCAUCCGUCACUGGUCCUUGGCCCCUUCAGACGUUGCUCAUUCGUCGUCUUUUUCAAGAACCCAGUACGUCCCUGCAGGCAAGUUAAGCCGCAAAUUUUGGUUAGUGGUCAGUUUGGAAACAGAAAAAUUCAAGACAUCUUAAGUUCCGAUUAUAUCACUUUGAUUCCUAAACCAUAUUUAAAAAAUAUUUAAACUUUAAGCUACUAAACAAUUCCUACACUAUAAUUUAAGUGAUGAAAAAUCAAUAUGCAGCACCAUGCAAAAAUACAUUAUUAAUUUAAAACUCCACUAAUUCAUUACAAGGCCUUAGACGAAAAAGGGUUAAUUUAGUGUAGAUUGACUGACAGUGUUUAUUCAUAUAGAUGUUCUGGAAGAUGAUGUGCUUGUAUCUUCUGAUGUUGCUUUUGGUUUUGGUCCCAGCAAAAGCACAGGGUAAGUUGACUUGUCGUGUUUUUGAAUAUAUAAGAGUUUUGUCUUCCAUCAAGACUUUUAUUUUACUAAGUGCAUCCAACUAUUCUAAUGAUUUAGUUGAAACUUUUAAUCAUAGUUUAGCUAAUAGAAUGGCUUAGUUGGAUAAAACAUGCACGAGUGACUGUCAACGCAGCACCGGAAUCCAAAGGACGGACGAUUGUAUAUAUUAUUAAAUUGAGAUAUUUUUCUGUGUUGGUGUUAAAUGUACUCAGGUGAACAUGAUGCUUGUGAUGUUAUUCUGAGUGUAUAUCCACACCGGGCAGCUUGAAAAAUAUGCCUGGCCACGCGGUGGGAAUCGAACCAACGACCUUUGGAAUACUAGCCCAAUGCUCGGCCAACUGAGCUACGCGGUCAAGUCGGUUCGAGUAUAUGUGAUAUACUGAUAUUUCGGAACAGAAUCUAGUUCCUUCGAUAUCAAUGUAAUCUAGUAAUCAUGAUUUUUCUGUGUUGGUGUAAUGUACUCAGGUGAAUAUGAUGCUUGUGAUGUUACUCUGAGUGUAUAUCAACACCGGGCAAGCUUGAAAAAUAUGCCUGGCCACGUUGGGAAUCGAACCUAGGCGCUCUAUAGUGAUCGGAACCUAGAAAGUUCAGGUUAUACUUUUUUUAAAGAGAAAUACCUAAUACAAACGCUUAAACUUUUGUACCUCACAGAAAAUCAUUGCGAUGAAAAUGAUCAGCCACAUUUUAUGAUAAAUGGUGCGAAUGAAUGUUUCUAAAAACUCGGGGAAUGUUUGGAGAAUUCACGGAACUCACCAAACUGUGGAAUGCAUAAAAAAAUCAUAUUGCCGCCACUACCACAAACGUCUACGUCCGCACCUACAUAUUUUCGCAUGUUUACAUUCUAAUUUUAAACAGCUAAUCCGGUUCUUGCAUGGUAACAGUUACAAUUAAACGUCGAUUGGCUGUUUAAAAUUAGAAUUGUAGACAUGCAAAAAUAUGUAGGUGCGGUCGUAGACAUUUGUGGGUGUGGCGGCGAUACGAAUUUUUUAUGCAAUUCCACAGUUCGGCAUGCGACUCCUUUUCUAUUUCUUGGUUAGAAUUAUAUUUUUUAAAUAACUUAUUUGUACUAUUUUUGAGUUGACUUCGUACAUUUUAAAGCAAGAUAUCUCCUUUCACGGACGGUAAUAAAUCAAGUUCAAAACUAUUUCCUUCAAAACAGAGAAUCCUUGCGAUGAAAAUGCCGAGGCACAUGAGAUUAAUGGUGUGGUUGAUUGCUUCUGCAAGCGUGGAUAUUAUGGAAAUGGAAAAAUUUGUACAG